AUGCCUGUUCGAGCGUCAUUUUAUCAGCUCAAGCAUUGCUUGAUUAUGGGUGUUUGUCCUAACAGACUCGCCUCAAAAGUAUUGGCAGUGGAUGUUUGAACUUUGUAUGCAGUAAACAAGUGUACAAAGGACUCCUUGUCCACCUCCACAAGUCUUCUUAGUUUGACCUCGGAUCAGGUAGGGAUACCCGCUGAACUUAA
RNAcentral lists this unclassified non-coding RNA (200 nucleotides) under soil metagenome. RNAcentral's name for it is "partial contains internal transcribed spacer 2 and large subunit ribosomal RNA". The record is from RNAcentral.